Molecule: ribosomal RNA, 462 nt
Filed under: uncultured bacterium
Lineage: Bacteria
Description: bacterial SSU rRNA
Rfam family: Bacterial small subunit ribosomal RNA
Source: RNAcentral
GACGAACGCUGGCGGCGUGCUUAACACAUGCAAGUCGAACGGUGACGGAGGAGCUUGCUCCUCCUGAUCAGUGGCGAACGGGUGAGUAACACGUGAGUAACCUGCCCCAGACUCUGGAAUAACAGUUGGAAACAGCUGCUAAUACCGGAUACGAGACGGAGAGGCAUCUCUACCGUCUGGAAAGUUUUUCGGCUGGGAUGGACUCGCGGCCUAUCAGCUUGUUGGUGAGGUAACGGCUCACCAAGGCGACGACGGGUAGCCGGCCUGAGAGGGCGACCGGCCACACUGGGACUGAGACACGGCCCAGACUCCUACGGGAGGCAGCAGUGGGGAAUAUUGGGCAAUGGGCGAAAGCCUGACCCAGCAACGCCGCGUGCACGAUGAAGGCCUUCGGGUCGUAAAGUGCUUUCUGAGGAAUGAGUAAGGACAGUACCUCAGGAAUAAGACCUCGGCCAACUACGU